CCCUUAGAUGUUCUGGGCCGCACACGCGCUACACUGAAGGAGGCAGCGUGUACUCCUGGAUCGAAAGAUUUGGGUAACCCGCGAAUCUCCUUCGUGCUAGGGAUUGAGGUUUGCAAUUAUCCUUCAUGAACGAGGAAUUCCCAGUAAGUGCAAGUCAUAAGCUUGCGCUGACUACGUCCCUGCCCUUUGUACACACCGCCCGUCGCACCUACCGAUUGAAUGGUCCGGUGAAAUCUUCGGAUCUGAGAGAUGUCUGAUUAAUUUCGGACGCCUUUUGGAAAAGUUGCUUAAACCUUACCAUUUAGAGGAAGGUGAAGUCGUAACA
This 325-nucleotide ribosomal RNA is filed under the name uncultured eukaryote. RNAcentral's name for it is "partial 18S ribosomal RNA". It matches the Rfam family "Eukaryotic small subunit ribosomal RNA", at positions 1470 to 1796 of the family's 1831-position model. The record is from RNAcentral.